CUUGGUCAUUUAGAGGAAGUAAAAGUCGUAACAAGGUUUCCGUAGGUGAACCUGCGGAAGGAUCAUUAGUGAAUUAAACAUGCUUGGUGUCCUCGCUUCGGCAAGGCCCUUGCUUAACUCACAUCCCAACACCUGUGAACUGUAAGGCGCAUGACUAGGUUCGCCCAAGUCAUCGUCUGCCCUUUUUAACAAACAAUUAAUGUAACAAACGUAGUCUUAUUAUAACCUAAUAAAACUUUCAACAACGGAUCUCUUGGCUCUCGCAUCGAUGAAGAACGCAGCGAAAUGCGAUAAGUAAUGUGAAUUGCAGAAUUCAGUGAAUCAUCGAAUCUUUGAACGCACCUUGCGCUCUUUGGUAUUCCGAAGAGCAUGCCUGUUUGAGUGUCAUGAAAAUAUCAACCUUGACUUGGGUUUUGUGCUCUAGUCUCGGCUUGGAAUUGGGUGCUUGCCGCUUUUACGAGCGGCUCACCUUAAAUGUAUUAGCUGGAUCUGUCUUUGAGACUUGGUUUGACUUGGCGUAAUAAGUAUUUCGCUAAGGACAUUCUUCGGAGUGGCCUCGUUUCUAGGACGCUUGUCCGCUUUCCAAUACAAGUUCCACCUCGUGGACAUGACUUUUUAUUAUCUGGCCUCAAAUCAGGUAGGACUACCCGCUGAACUUAAGCAUAUCAAUAAGCGGAGGAAAAGAAACUAACAAGGAUUCCCCUAGUAACGGCGAGUGAAGCGGGAAAAGCUCAAAUUUGAAAUCUGGCAGCCUCAGGUUGCCCGAGUUGUAAUCUAUAGAAACGUUUUCCGCGCCGGCCCAUGUACAAGUCCCUUGGAACAGGGCGUCAUAGAGGGUGAGAAUCCCGUCCUUGACACGGACCACCGGUGCUUUGUGAUACGUUUUCAACGAGUCGAGUUGUUUGGGAAU
RNAcentral lists this small RNA (910 nucleotides) under uncultured Cryptococcus. RNAcentral describes it as "eukaryotic LSU rRNA". The stretch from base 624 to 910 matches the Rfam family "Eukaryotic large subunit ribosomal RNA", at positions 1 to 281 of the family's 3401-position model. Lineage: Eukaryota; Fungi; Basidiomycota; Tremellomycetes. The record is from RNAcentral.